This 499-nucleotide ribosomal RNA is filed under the name uncultured bacterium. RNAcentral describes it as "partial 16S ribosomal RNA". It matches the Rfam family "Bacterial small subunit ribosomal RNA", at positions 28 to 507 of the family's 1533-position model. The record is from RNAcentral.
GACGAACGCUGGCGGCGUGCCUAAUACAUGCAAGUCGAGCGAAGUUUUUCUGGUGCUUGCACUAGAAAAACUUAGCGGCGAACGGGUGAGUAACACGUAAAGAACCUGCCUCAUAGACUGGGACAACUAUUGGAAACGAUAGCUAAUACCGGAUAGCAGUAUUUCUCGCAUGAGAGAUAUUUAAAAGUUGGUUAUGCUAACACUAUGAGAUGGCUUUGCGGUGCAUUAGCUAGUUGGUGGGGUAAAGGCCCACCAAGGCGACGAUGAAUAGCCGACCUGAGAGGGUGAUCGGCCACACUGGGACUGAGACACGGCCCAGACUCCUACGGGAGGCAGCAGUAGGGAAUCUUCCGCAAUGGGCGAAAGCCUGACGGAGCAACGCCGCGUGAGUGAAGAAGGAUUUCGGUUCGUAAAGCUCUGUUGUUAGGGAAGAAUGGAUAUGUAGUAACUAUACAUGUAAGAGACGGUACCUAACCAGAAAGCCACGGCUAACUACGUG